Molecule: unclassified non-coding RNA, 499 nt
Filed under: uncultured Glomus
Lineage: Eukaryota; Fungi; Glomeromycota; Glomeromycetes; Glomerales; Glomeraceae
Description: SSU rRNA
Rfam family: Eukaryotic small subunit ribosomal RNA
Source: RNAcentral
CCAAUAGCGUAUAUUAAAGUUGUUGCAGUUAAAAAGCUCGUAGUUGAAUUUCGGGAUCGAAUUGUUGGUCGUGCUUCGGUACGUACUGGCAUUAUUGGUUCCUACCUUCUGAAGAACCGCGAUGUCAUUAAUUUGGUGUCGUGGGGAAUCAGGACUGUUACUUUGAAAAAAUUAGAGUGUUUAAAGCAGGCUUACGCUUGAAUACAUUAGCAUGGAAUAAUGAAAUAGGACGUUUGAUUCUAUUUUGUUGGUUUCUAGGAUCGACGUAAUGAUUAAUAGGGAUAGUUGGGGGCAUUAGUAUUCAAUUGUCAGAGGUGAAAUUCUUGGAUUUAUUGAAGACUAACUACUGCGAAAGCAUUUGCCAAGGAUGUUUUCAUUAAUCAAGAACGAAAGUUAGGGGAUCGAAGACGAUCAGAUACCGUCGUAGUCUUAACCAUAAACUAUGCCGACUAGGGAUCGGAUGAUGUUAAUUUUAUAAUGACUCAUUCGGCGCCUUACG